RNAcentral lists this long non-coding RNA (33233 nucleotides) under Capsella grandiflora. RNAcentral describes it as "long non-coding RNA (CGRA_LNC001248)". The record is from RNAcentral. Lineage: Eukaryota; Viridiplantae; Streptophyta; Magnoliopsida; Brassicales; Brassicaceae.
CCGAUCAUAGAGGCAUUGCCUAAACUAGAGCAGUAAGUUAUACACAAAUCUACCCAACUUGUUUAUUUAGUUGAUAGCUCCCAAAAACAGCCUUUCAAUAUUUGUAAUUUGCCGUUAAUUUUAUAGGUACAUCUACUGUUCUUCAGCUGGUGUUUAUCUGAAAUCUGAUAUCUUGCCACACUGUGAGGUAUAGAAAAUAUAUCUUAAUUCUUAUUCCUGGAAGAAUAUGAGCUUGUAUUUCUCGGGAUUCUCCAUAUAUAUAUUGUGAUUUUGUCAUAUGAUCUCACUCAAAAGUUUAUUACCCGACCCCAGUUGUAGUAACUUUAUGGGACAUAACCAAUGCAGGAGGAUGCAGUUGACCCUAAGAGCAGGCACAAGGGGAAGCUGGAGACUGAAAGCUUACUGCAAUCAAAAGGUGUAAACUGGACUUCUAUUCGUCCUGUCUACAUCUACGGUCCAUUGAACUACAACCCUGUCGAAGAAUGGUUCUUCCACCGUCUCAAAGCUGGUCGCCCAAUCCCAGUUCCAAACUCUGGGAUACAGAUCUCACAACUCGGUCAUGUUAAGGUCACACACUACUUUCUCUAAUGCUCUUUAGCUCACUUUCAUGUUCAGAGCACUUGUUAUGUUAUAGGACACCCUCUUAACUCAAACUCAGCACUAUCUCAAUCCAAUAACACCAGAUGAUUCUGUGAUUUCAGGAUUUGGCAACAGCCUUUCUCAACGUGCUUGGUAACGAGAAAGCCAGCAGAGAGAUAUUCAACAUCUCAGGGGAGAAAUACGUCACUUUUGAUGGGUUAGCAAGAGCUUGCGCAAAGGUACAUUCUUGUUGUCUGUUCUAUCCAAAAUGUUUUGAAUACAUGUGGCCUGUUUGAGAUAUAUAUCUCUGAGCUUUUUGGAUCAGUGCUUGAGUAAAUUUAUUCAUGUUUUCAAAUCUCUCUCAGGCUGGUGGGUUUCCAGAGCCAGAGAUUGUGCACUACAACCCGAAAGAGUUCGACUUUGGGAAGAAGAAGGCAUUCCCUUUCCGUGACCAGGUAAAAACUAAAAAGUUCGAAUGAUUUAGGCUGCAACAUCAAAGAGUCCAUUCUAAAAGUUGGGGUUUUGAUUUAUGUAUGAUCUUGCAGCAUUUCUUUGCAUCGGUGGAGAAAGCCAAGCAUGUGCUGGGAUGGAAACCAGAGUUCGACUUGGUAGAGGGUCUCACUGACUCAUACAACCUUGAUUUCGGUCGCGGAACUUUCAGGAAAGAAGCAGAUUUCACCACUGAUGACAUGAUUCUAAGCAAGAAACUUGUACUUCAAUCCUAAAAAUUGCUCAUAUAAAAUCAACAUUCUUGGCUUGUUUUGAUUGUCAUCACCCGGAUCUCUUAAGAUUCUCACAUUUAUCGUCAUCUCACGUAUAUUUUGGUUCGGACUUUGAUCGACUUAUGAUAAACAACCCGAGAAAGUAACUGAAAAGAGACGGUCUGAACCUAUGGGUCUUAAUGUCUCACUUGGUAUUUUAGGAAUUUGGUUUCAAGUUCGGCAUCUCUUUCUAAGUCUGAACCGAACCAAACUAUCAACCAUACCCACUAGGCCACUACCGACUGAGCAAAUUAAAUUUCAGUUUUAAUACGGUCCCAGUUUUUUUCAUUGCUCAAAAGUCGAAACCGAACCAAAAAAAUCGAAUCCCAGCGUUUGUAAUUUAAAUGGCCUCCCAAAAAUUAGACCACAAGAAAGUACAUUGUGGCUAGAUGCUUGACCCGCUACAUACCGUCCGGUCGAUACAGGUCAAGUCAAGCUAACACUUAAUUGGGCCCCCCAGUAUUAAAACAUGCAGCCCAUCUCUUAUAAUAGGGGACAAGUCAAGCUUAAACUUGAUUAGGCUCCCGAGUCUUAGAACAUGCAGCCCAUCUCUUUUAACAGGAAAGUAUUUGGAGCCUACCUUAAAAAAAGCUGAUUGCAUCGUAACUUAUAGAGACACGUUUCAUGCCUUCUUGAGCCACUUCGCCGAUGUGGGAUAUAAGGCAUUAUCCUAUAAUGACGAACAAGUCUAUAAAACCAGGUUUUGCAAUUAACCUAGUAGUUUAAACAGUAAACAUAUGUCUUGGUCUGUUUCUUUUGCCUUUUUUCUUGUGUUUUGACUUUUGACUGCGUAAGUAUACAAUCUUUUUAAAAAACACAAGGAUUUUACGCAAACAAAAAUAAUUGAAGCCUCAAACGUCUUUUUCAGCUUAAAUAAGAUGAUGCAUAACAUCAACGGGAGAAUUGUUUCUGUUUUGCUGUCAUGUACUGAUGUACAGUUUCCAAAAACAUGGGGACCUGAAAGCAUCAACAAGUCAGUAAUGGAAAAUCUUCACCAGUUGAAAACUACUCAAACUUGAAUAUAUGCAACAACAACGAAAAAAAAAAAUAUUCCUUAUGAGCAAUUUUGUUCCUAGUUAUUUGGACAUUUUGAAUAUAAUUGACAGAAACAGGUUACCGCAGAUGUGUCGCCCAACCGCAACAAAACAGGCACUAUGUGAUAAACAAUGACGGGAAAACUCUCCAUUCAACGUAAAUUAAUUGUUGGGACCAAAGUUACAAAAAAUGCAUGUGAGGGUUCAUCGUGUCUUUGGUAAGGAGAGGUUUGUUUGGCCACUGCAGGUCGUAAUCUUGUGGGAAGAAGGACCGCACGGUAUCUUUUGUGUGGAGUUUGGAUUCCAAAGUAGAAUGUGCAUACUACAAAAAUGAAUUAGUCUUCUCUUUUUUGGCUGCUCUAGAAGGAUUACUUGAAAAGUCGUAGCUACACAUAAUCAUUGAACAUCCUAAUUAAUAUUAUUUUGCUUCUUUUCUAUACCUUUAUAUGUCGGUACGUUUUUUCCUUUUCCACUAUGUCGGUACGUAAAAAUGUUACUGCAGUGCUGGUUUUAGAUAAAAAUUCUAACAACGGUCGCCCACCACACUAAGGCAGCUAGCUAAUGGUCAGCUCGGUGAUCUGCGGAUUUUGGCAUAUCAGAUUGCAUAACAAGACUUUCCAAGUUUUCUUCAGAAAAAACUGACAAAAAAUUUCGAGACACGAUCUUGAUCCGAUAGAACAAAAAGAAUUUUGGUAAUCUCAUGAGCUAUAUAUUUCCUUGAAUCGAGUUCUCUCUUUUUUCAUUUUUUGGGUAAGUUAAGCCCUCAUCUAAUGAAACAAUUUUUUGUAACUAAUACCACAUCUUAUAAUUCCAUACUAAAAUUUACAAUAGUAUAUUAAAACAAAUUGUAAAAUUGAAAACAAAAAUAUAUAGUAAACUACAAAAAUAAAUUGAAUCCAAAAUUUUAGAUGGCCAGAAAUUACUUGAUGCAAUCUCAAGGCCAAGAAAAUUAAUUAUGCAAACAAAUUAAAAAAGGAAAAACAAAAAGAAAAAAAAAAUUGUAAUGUAAACUAGUAAUGCGAUAUAUAUAUAUAUAUAUAAGUAUAUGUAAUAUCAUUUUUUGGUUUUUUGUGACCCAAAAUAAAAUAAAAUAAAAGGAAAAACUUUUGGUUCUUUUUAUAUUUUAAAAUCUUGACGUUAGGAAAAAAGAAGAAAAUAUCAACGUUAUAAAAUAACCAACUACGCAAAAUAGUAGGUCGGUCAAGGGUUCGGACAAACAAAAUAUGACCAAUCAAUAUGUCUCGUGGGCUCUCCUCUUCGCCACGUGGCUUCAUAACAGCCUUGUAUGAAAUCAGACAGAGACGCUCCAACCAAUCACAAGUUUUCAUUCGUCGUGGUAGUAUCUAUAGUAUAUAGACCCCACCCUCACUUAUUUACCAAACUGUGAGACACGUUUCCAACUGUAUCGCCACGUCAUCAUUCUCCAAAUUAAGUUGUAAAUGUAGCAUGCACUAUCAAUUAGCCAUAACCACGGCCUUCAAAUUCCUAUAAAAGCCCAACCUUGGUUUCUCACACCAACAAUCAAAUCACACUAAUCAACAACUCAAGGGCAUCACUAAGAAGUAGUUUCUCUCUCUCUCUCGUUCUUUCAUAAUUCUCCGACAAGAUCAAUGGCACCUGAGAUGAACAACAAGUUGAGCUACGGAGGGAAGCAGAGGGCUUACGUGACUUUCCUUGCCGGGAACGGAGACUACGUGAAAGGAGUCGUUGGUCUGGCUAAAGGCCUAAGGAAAGCUAACAGCAAGUACCCAUUAGUGGUUGCUGUCUUACCGGACGUGCCCGUGGAUCACCGUAGACAGCUAGUGGAUCAAGGCUGUCUCAUCAAGGAUAUUCACCCGGUUUACCCGCCGGAUAACCAAACUCAGUUCGCCAUGGCUUACUACGUCCUCAACUACUCCAAGCUCCGCAUUUGGGAGGUACAUAUCAUUUUAACAUAAAUUUUAUGUUUUUUAAGUUUUCUUGAUAUGUAUGAGGUUUCACUAAAAUAUGUGAAUGCAGUUUGUCGAGUACAGCAAGCUGAUAUACUUAGACGGAGACAUACAAGUGUUUGAGAACAUAGAUCACUUGUUCGAUCUUCCCGACGGUAGUUUCUACGCUGUUAAAGACUGUUUCUGCGAGAAGACAUGGAGCCACACUCCUCAGUACAAGAUCGGCUACUGCCAGCAGUGUCCGGACAAGGUGACAUGGCCUGACACGGAGCAGCUUGGUCCUAAGCCACCGUUGUACUUCAACGCCGGAAUGUUCGUUUACGAACCAAGCCUCCCCACUUAUUACAACCUUUUGGAGACUCUCAAAGUUAUCCCUCCCACACCUUUCGCUGAACAGGUAAAACAAACACACAUAUUUAUAUCAUUAUAUAUUUGCAGUUUCAUUAUAAAUAUUAUAGGUCUUAAUUAAAAUUAUAUAUAUAUAGGACACGAUUCAAUUGAUUUUUGUGCGUUUUAUAGGAUUUCUUGAACAUGUACUUCAAAGAUAUAUAUAAGCCGAUUCCACCGGUAUAUAAUCUUGUCUUGGCUAUGCUCUGGAGGCAUCCAGAGAACAUAGAGCUUAAUGAAGCCAAAGUUGUUCAUUACUGUGCAGCUGGUGCUAAGCCUUGGAGGUAUAGGAUCUAGUUCUCUUCGUCUAAAUUUUCUAAAUGUAAAUUAAGAAUUAAGAUGAAAGAACUGAAGUUGGUUCUCUGUUUGUAUCAUCAGGUUCACAGGCCAAGAACAAAAUAUGGAGAGAGAAGACAUCAAGAUGCUUGUAGAGAAAUGGUGGGACAUUUACAACGACGAGUCACUUGAUUACAAGAACGUAAAUGUGCAUUGCAGACAAAAAGAAGAUGUCCAAAAGAAACAGCAAUCCCUUCCACAGUUUUUAACAGACUUGUCUGAGGCCAAUGUGCUUCACUGCGCCAAAGCUCCAUCCGCGGCCUAGAAAACUUUGUAAGGGCUGCACUAGGUUCUUGUCAACAACUAUUUGCUAUUAAUUAGCUUGUGAAACUGCUGAUGUUUAUAUAGGAAUUAUUGUAUGAAGUUGUGUUUUCCCGUUUUUAUGUGACUAUAGAGUGUUUAAUCUCCAAACCCUCUCUGUACCUUGUAUGUUUGCUAAAGCCUAAAGAUUUCUCUUCCGAAAAGAUAUAUUAAAUAAUAGUAUAGUUUUGUUAAGAGAAUUGCUACCCCCAACAGUUUAUAUAAAAGAAAAUUCUAUGUUUUGAUAAUCGGUAAAAACCAUAUUGGAAAUUAAUGAGAUUCAUUAAAAUAGGAUCCAAUCCAUAUAUUACAGAACGUUGUAAUCUUUUUUAUUCAUUUUGUAUAUUAUACGGCUCUCUUGAGUAUUCUCCUUUAGUUCGUUGAUGACAAAAAAAAAAGAAUAUUGUACUACUAGUAUUAGUAAAUGAAAUUUUAAUAUAAAUUAAAUAUUCAAACUUUAUGAAUCAUUUAUAAACAUUCUUAAAAACUUAUACUAUAAUACUUAAUUAGACCAGAUAUAUUUUUGUUGGGUAAGUUCUUAAUUUUCCUACAUGUUGACUCAAUAAUUUUGGAAACUCAGUUAUCAAAGAAAACAUUAAUGAGUUAGCUACUUCAACUAUUUAACAUGUUAUUCAAGAAUCUAUCCAACAUAAUCUCUUCAAUAAAAUUUAAAUUUACAAAAAAUAUGAAAUUCCCGCGCGGUAUUUUCCUAGUGAUCAUUCUUGUUUUCUACAUUUUGACUCCUUAUAUUGAAGCAGUCGAAGUUGAUGGACCAACAGAAGCAUUGAUUAGGAGUAUUUGCGUAGAAAACGAAGAUUAUGGAUUUUGUUACAAAAUCAUCCAUGAAAAAUUGAAGGCACCAACGGCUACUCUCAAAGAACUUACCGCUCUCAUAUUACACACCGCUAUAGAUCAGGCCAAUGAUACUUACAUUUUCAUUGAUAAUAUCUUCCAUGAGUGGCCCGGUCCUAAGGAGAAGACUGGUCUCACGACUUGUCAUGCAGUUUUUAAUAGAGAGAUCACUAGUUUCUUAGAAAUUCGCUUUCUAUUUUCAAAAAAGGAGUACGAACAUAUGGUUAAAACCAUUUUGUCUACAGCUAAGAUCUUAGAUGGUUGUAAGACCGAUUUACUUAUUCCUCCUUACAGAAAUCUUCUAACUGAGAAGAAGAGGGUUAUGAGAAUACUGAUCACCAUGUCUGCCGUUUCCGGAUACAUGGUAAAAAAUGGAAAAGCAUCCUUGCUUGGAUCAAUAGUUACUCCGCAGUAUUUCAUUUAUUAAUAAAUGGUAUGUAACAACUAAAGCUUCAUUGAUAUAAAAUUAAAGUUAAUAAAAACAAAUAACCUUGUCUUUCUUUUCUUUUCUUUUCUUUUUUCUUUUUUUUUGUUCACCUCAUGUCUUUCUUUUCUUGAUUCUAAAGUUUUUGAUAAACUUGGAUAAAAUCUCAGCAAUCUUAAAACUUAGUCGCCAUUGACUGAUUUGGUUAACAUCUCAUAUAUAUAGAACAUCUCAUAUAUAUAGUAGCAUUCUUCGAUGUAUUCACCUUCUUUAGUUCCACAUUUGAUGUAUAAGGCUUAUCUCUCUAUUCCCUUUUCUGGUCUCCGGUCAUUGGUAGAUAGCGAACUUCUCUCUUCUCCUGUCUUCAACAGGGAGAAAAAAAAAGAGUUCAUUCAUUUGCAUAUUCGAGGCACUAAAUAAUGUGAACAUUUAAGUAGUCAAACAAAAUCUUCUUAUAAUUGGUAAAAAAAGAAAAAAAAAAUCCUAUACACUUAAUUACAAAAUGAUUCAGAUCUGCGUCAGAUACGUAGCCAAACCAAAUAUUAUACUCUUUUGACGAGUUAUUAAUUUAAGUUGGUUUUUGUCAUUGGCCCGUUAGAUUUAAGAUCUUGACAUGCACUUAGAUAAGUUUUUUUUUAAUAAUUGAAUAGGCUAUUUCAUCAUUAUUUUUCUAAAAAAAUAAUAAAUUCCCAUUAUAUAUCUAACCAUAUCAAAAUACAUCUUAAAUAUACCAUAUUUACUAAUUAUUAAUGUUUUUUGUAUUUAUCUUACAAAUGUAAUAUAAUACAGUAUGCUUAAAAUUAAUUUGAUAUAACAUAUACAAUUAAUUAAUAUUUUUGUAUUUACCUUACAAGUGUAAUAUUUUUGGAAAUAUUUUUUUUCCUUGAAUUCACAAAUGCUUACACGGAAUUUCAGGUAACUCAGGAAGACUUUUGACUUUUGACUAAAAUUCAUUCAAAUGCCUAACUUUUAAUAUAAAGAUAAAAAAUUUCUUGCUCUAAGGACCACACACUCACAAUUUACAAAAAAAAAGAACACAAACAUGAAAUUGCCUAGCAAUAUUCUAUCGACAGUUUUGGCGAUUACACUCGCUUUCUCCGUUGCAGAAGCUUUUCUCAAUGGAAAAACUCAACAAAUGGUGAACGGGAUCUGCAAACAGACAACGGAUACCAAAUUCUGCAAUGGUGUCUUGGUCAAGAACCUGAUUACUCCUACCCCAAGCAACAAAGAUCUCAUGAACGUGACUCUUAGAGAAGCUGAAAGGUUCUCAGCAAACACUUAUUUCUUCAUCAGCACACUCCUCAGGGAUGCUGGAGACGAGAGGGAAGAUCUUCAAAUGUGCGCUGACGCUUACUCCAUUGUGAACUUGGCGUUCACUAAUGCUAUAUCUUUCUUCAACCAAGCUUACUACAGUAAGAUCGUCAAGGUCAAAAAUAAAGUUUCUACGGCCGUUGGUAUCUGUAAGACAGACUUCACAGUGCCCGGUUAUGAGAUCAAUCCGUUGAUUGAGAAAAAUAGACAGACUAUUAUUUUAGUAUCCAUGGAAAAUAUCGUUUGUCAUAUGGUUUCUUCAUAAUUUUGUUGUUGAAACAUAUGUAAAUGUAACUGAAGCAAAUGUUUACAGAGUUAACCAAUAAUAUAUUGAUAUGUUUUUUUGUUUGGUGAUGCUAAGGUUGAAUUAGAGUUGACAAGGAUAAGCACUUGGAUAUAGAAAUAGCUUUUUCUCUAAGUGUUUACACCUAUUGCCAAAAGAAUUAGUAUAAGAUUUUGAUUCCUUUGUCCUUUUAUGGAUUCUUUGAUCUUAUCGCUAAGUCAGCCGGUCAACUAGUGUGUAAUACUGUCACUUUCAUUAAUUUAUUUUUUGAAAACAUUACUUAAUUUUAAUAAUUAGUGCCUUCAAAUAGUCCAAAUCGGUUAUGUAAGUAUGAAAACUAUAUCGCAUGUUGCUCCUCUAUGUAAAUAUCUCUUACCAGCAAAACUAAUCUCAGCCAAGUCUUUCCUGCAAAUCUACGAUCCUUAUCGACUAACAGGUACAUGAACUUAGAUAAUACUCGCAAGUCGCAAUCAAGUAUGAAGAAGAAGACGGAGUUGAAGCAACAGAGCAGUUUGCUCUGUUUUCAUUCGUUUUAGUUUUUAUAUUCAGUUAUUCACCAGACACUUGGGUUACUAAACCAGGGUUAAACCGUGACCGUCAAUUUGUAAUUGACUUGCAAAAACCGAAACCCUCUGUUUGAAGCCACUUCCUUACAUUUUAACCCUGUGAGGCUGUGACAGAGUUAAGUUAUAUAGAGAUCAUAAUUAGUGAUAUAUGUAGUAGUGUCCAUGGCAUGAAGACUGCAAAUAACACACAAAUUAAACAUUCCAUCAUUGGCCUCAAAAUGGGAUACAAAGGUAAACACUCCGGAAAUGGAUAUUCAAUUUAAGUUGCAGUAACUUAAAGACAGCAUAAAACCACCAAAAGGCUUCACAGCUCUUACUUAUAUGAUAAAAGAAGGGUUCAAAGGUCUUAAGGCUAUAUAGGUCCUGUGGAACCAUUUCCACUAGAUGCGACUGGUAAUCUCGAUUCUAUAUCUUCAUUACUCUCAAUUUUUACUUUAUGCUGUUGUUGUUUCACCUUCUCUGCUUCUUCAUCCUUCUCAGUCACCUCUCUGUCUUUCCCCCACAAUACGCCAUAGAGCCCAAUAAUCACAAGUGCUGAUCCCAAAAACCUGUUUAUACAUAUAUCAUAUCAUUUAAUAAUCACCCCGCUGUUUAUGUUAUGUUUAUAUAUAGAGAGUGAGAUUAAUUAAGGUGUGUAGAUACGUACGUGCCGGUGUAGAGUUUCUCGUCAAGAAGAGUCCAGCUGAAGAUGGCGACGACUACUAGAAGUAAAGGGCUGAAAACAGAGACGUAGAGAGGACCUUUCCUCUGCAUCGCCCAUGACAUUAGGCAGAAUGCUAACGCAGACGCCACCACUCCCUGCAUCCAUGUUUUAUGUUAAAUAUUAUCAUAUACUAGCUAAGCUUAAUUCAUAGUAUAUGCAUUAAUGCAUAGUAUAAUGGUAAAACAUACGGCGUAAAGAGCGGAUAUGAAGCGGAGAGGAGAGCUGAGAGACCAAUCAGAGAGUUUGUGAUCGGAGAUCAAAGCGAUGGCUCCACACUGAAUACUUCCCAUCAAACACAUUAGAAGUGUGCUCGUGUAUGGUGCUGCAAAUGUUUCACUCAUCUUCGUCUGUCACCACAAUAAAAUUUCUUAAAAUUAAUAAACCUUAAAGGGUUUUUUUGCGUACAAAUCCUUAAAGGUAUAUUAGGGAAUUUUGGUUUUUGGGCUUUAUUUCAUAUUCACAGUUUCAAAUUCUGUUUUAUUUUUUGAAUGUAGAAAAGAUAAAACCUGAUUAAAAAAAAAAGGUUACCUGGAUAAUGAACCAAGCGGCCCAAGAAACGGCAGCAGCCAUAAUAAGAAAAGGUCCGAAGAAGAAGUUAGAACUGCUAGAACUGGAACCUUGGCUCGUUAUGUUUUCAGCAUAGGCCCAAUGGAUCUUGGACUCUCCAAUGCCGAUGGUGUGACCAUGGUAGAAGGAGAGAACCAUGGCUCCGAUCACACACACUAGCGUCCCUAUCACUUUGGCUUGUCCUGAUGCCUUUUUAAUCCCUACGGUUUCUUGUCUGAAAAAUGUAUAGUUUUGUGUUAGCAGUGAAAAACAGAGUAUUGUUUGAUGGAAACUUUCUAUUUAUUUUUUAUUUUUUUAGAAUUUAACUUUAUAAAUUUAUUACAUCUACAUAACCUGAAUAUUGCGGCGAGGAGGAACGUAACCGCUGGUAAGAGAUUAGUCAAGGCACAAGCAAUGGUCGGAGAUGAAUUCUGAAGACCUAUGAAGUAUAGCACUUGGUUUCCAGUCGCACUGCAAAUUAAAUCAGGGUCAAAAUAGUGUUACAAAAAACAUUUAUUUAUUUUUUUCCUUUUUCUGGUAAGAACUCAGAGAGAUGGAAUUGUCUACAAUUAUAGUAAAAAGACAAAAAAUGAGAUUGCAAUAAGUAGGUAAAGUGGAUGAUGUAGUAGAUACCCGGUGAUGGAACAGAAGAAGAUUUGGACAAGAACCUUAAGUGUGAUCUUCGGUCUUGUCUUCCUGCACAAGAAAACGUGUACGAAAUUUUAUCAUUAGUCCCUAAUCAUUAAAAUCAGUUAAUUCUUUUAGUAUGAAAAUAGUGUUUUAAAUAUCAAAACCCAACCGGCUAAACAAAGUCCAACUGAAUGACUGAAGGAAAAAAUCGAAAGAAUCAAUCAUUCAAAUAAAGUGAGUGAAGAGAGUAAAACGUCAGCGUAUAAGGAAGCACGUGUCGUGGGGAAAUAAAGUUGGCACGGCACCUGACGACGCUUUCUCUUAACUCACCUGGCAUCAUAUUUUGUGUUGUCUGCAUGUGUUUCGGUUAAAAGAAAGAAAAACGUGUGACGCGUGCAUUGUGUGAGAGACUGCGUCACAUUUCUCACUUCUUUUCUCUCGGUAAUCGGAAUUAAUGAUACUGUAAUUACUUUUAGGCUUCCACAUACGACCAAAGUGAUUCACAGUACCAGAGAUGUUGUAAUGAUAACGGUAAAUUACUAAUUUCAAUAAAAGAAACAAACAAAGAUGCAUAAUGCUGAUGCUAGCUAUUGCCUAGUGUAUAUCCAAUUUCGAAACCUAUUUAUCUGUGGCACUUUACCACCUUUUUUUCUUCAAAAUUCCCGAAAUCCAUAUACGUAUUGCUUAAUCACCAUAAUGUGCGUAAUCUAUAUCGUUAUCUUUGGACAAUAAACGAUGUCGUGCUAAACUCUCCUUCCUAGUUAUAUAUCUAUCGUUUAAACUUUUUAAUCAUCCAAAAUGAUGGUAUUAAUUAGUUGUCAAAAUUGUAAUUAAUGGAACUAAAUUAAUCUAUUCAAACCUAGUACUGAUGAAUUAAGUUUUUAGCAAAAAUAAGAAAAAAAUAAAUCUUAGACCAACAAAAAAAAAAUGUAAAUGUAAGUGGUACUUCUAUGUCAUAAACUUUAAAAAGCUUUAUUUUUGUUGAACUUUGUAAAGUAAUUAGUAAAAUCGUUCUACAACAGACUCACAAAACCAUUUAGUAAAAAUGAAUGGUUUCAUUCGCUAAUAUAUAUAAAAUACACGCACUCAUCCCAUUAUAUUUAUGAAUGAUGUCAUCACUUUGUACUUUCGCACUUAAAACACACACUUUAAGACAUUCGAUUUAAACCCAAACGCAAUAAUCAAAGAAAAUUUAGCCUGGUUAAUGACAACAAAAGUUAAGCAUAUCGAUCUCUCGCUGAUCUUUGUAAAACCUAGUCCGAUCAUGACUAUACGUAAAAACCUUAAUAAAUUUAACAUGAAAAAGCAAUAAGAACAAUGCCUUUCAAGAAACAAACAGAAAUUCAAGAUUCUAUGGAUGCAGCUUGUUUCAAUCAUAUAUUGAUGCAUGUCCAAAAGCGUUAGCUGACCAAAAAUAACAUGUACAUGUAUGUAGAUAUUAGCAUGGUUUUUCUACCUUUCUAGAAAAAUUGCAACCGGGAGAGUGGCGAUAGUGGCAAAUAUUUGGCGAUAAGCGACCAGAAUGAGAGGCUUCAUGCCGGCCUCCAUAGCCAUCUUCGACGUAAUGUUCAUGCCUGCGUAGCCGAUUUGCACCAACACCAUCGCCAAGAACGGCAGCAUAUCUCUUGAUUUACCCAUCUCUCUCUCUCUCUCUCUCACGUUUAUUUUAUUCUUCAAAAUUUAUGUGUUUAUAUAUAUAUAUCUAUAUGUAUAUCUCUCUCACUAUUACUAAUCAGUAAUAAUAGGUCGAGCAACCAAGAAAAAAAAAGGAGAGAGGUGGGUUCUCUUUGAUGUUUAUUAGUUUCCCCCAAAUCUAUCUCUACUUUUGUUCAACCUUCUUAUAUUUAUAGCUAAAGGUAUAUAUAUACAUAUAUAUUGUAUACAUUUAUUUAUUUAUAUAGAUAUAUAGAGAGAGAGAGGGAGAAAGGGAGAGAGAUGUUUUAAACAGAAAGGUGAGAAACGGUUCGAGAAUGAAGUUUGCUUGUAACACUUGUGCUCUCUUUAGGGCAUAAGAACACGAAACAGUAGAUGAUAUGUAUCAUUUGAUAUUUUUGGCAAUUUGUAUAACUUUUUCUCCUUGUUGAUUACUAUUAUAAAAUCCAAAUUGCCGUUUUGUAGAAAGAAAAAAAUAAACUUAUAUAUAUCCUCUCUCUUUCAGUCCCUUUUAUUUGGUUUCCGUUUUUUCAUGGGUUUGGUGGAGAUUGUGAAUGAAUGGUAAGAGAAUGCAUGAAUGCCUUUCUCAAGCUUCAAGCAACCAAUCUCGCUUUGCUAAAACUCGUUUCUCUGUGAAUAUUAAUUCAAGGGUUUGGUUUAUCCCUUCAUUUAUCAUCAUUAUCAAGUUAACCAUUCUUUCUUUGCUAAAAAUUGUUAUACUAUCAUUUUGAUUGAUUUUCAUUUCACCACUCUUACUUUUUUUCUCAAACAUUUUUUUUUUUGGUGUGUGUGUGCGUGUCUAAUAUGAUUAUAAUAUAUUUUAAUAUUUUUUGAAAUUCAAUAUGAAUUGAAUCAAACGCAUUACAUUUAUCAAUAGAGAUUAUAUAUAUAUGUGUGUGUGUUGGGGCCAUUUAUUUGUGCUUAAAGGGCCUUACUUGUGCUUAAAGGCCUUUCCUUAGGUGUACCGUACACAGUAACUUCCUUGAGCAAGAAUGUAUCUUCUUUUGAUAGUAGAGGACAAAAAAACAUAGGUAUACCGAAAAGAACACGUUAAACUUUCAUGUUUGUUGAAAUUUUGAGAAAGUUGGGGAUGAUUCAUAUUUUGCUGGAUUUAAUUGGUAUUACACGAAAUGCUGUUUCAAACUGAAGAUGACUAAUUAUGAUUAAUACAAUAUUCCUGCUUCCAUUUGCAUUAAGUCAUAGAAGGAAGCUAACGUUGGCUUCUCCAAAACAAAUUGGUUUUUCGUGUCGCUCACUUAAUUAGUUGGGUUUCCAAGUUCCAACGUAAAUUUUCGCCGCAUAUUUUUAUCUUUACGUUGUUACGUACCAAAAGAUUUUUUCCGUUGUUGGUUUUGGAUGUAUUAGGGAUGCAUUACGUAUAGUAAUGUGAUUAGCAUCUCGAUGCAAAUCUAUUCAUUCUAUCAUGCCCACAUCACUGUGGCCUUUGUGGGCUAAACUUUUGAAUCGAAAGAAAACUAGCAUAUUAGCCACCAAUAUACAAAAGCCCAAAUGAAAUACAGAAGUAUAUAAACUUACCAAUCACAGUGAAAUUUUUUUUUAAAAAAUCAUAGUAGUUUUAUUCUGUUUUUUUUUUUUUAAUAAGUAACUCACAUCACCUUCUCUUUUUUUCUUUUCUUUUCCCAACGGUGGGAAACUAAAUUGGGGAUCGAUCUCGAUAUGCAUAAGCUUGAGUUAUGUGUGUGAGUCACUAUCAACCACCAACCUACAAAGUCUUUGGCUUUAUUAUUUCAAAUUAAAUUAAAAGGAUCACACACUACUAAUAAAAGCUUAAAAGAGGAAAAACAAGAUCCCACACACUACUAAAGCUAGGCUUACCAUAUUUUUACAAAAGGGCUCUCUGUUCACACCACUACUACUAUCGAUCAGUCUCUUCUUCCAGUUCCAAUGGCUACUCUUUCUCUUCACUGCUACUACUUCUUCCUGCUCACUCUCCUCCCGGUGAUCUUUAAUCUCCGGCAUCACUUGGCGGUGGCUGAAGGAUGUCAAUCUCCUCCCGUGAUCUUUAACUUUGGAGAUUCAAACUCCGACACGGGUGGACUCACCGCCGGACUCGGCUACUACAUUGGUCUUCCCAACGGUCGCUCGUUUUUCCGGCGAUCCACCGGCCGACUGUCCGAUGGACGACUCGUCAUCGAUUUCCUCUGUAAGUCAGCUUUUUCUCGACUCUAGUAACUAUUAGACGGUUGAGAUUUAGUGGGUAGUGGGAUCAAGCCGUUACAACCGUCCGAUGAAACAGAUGUAAACUCUAAUCAAGGGCUGAGAAUCGCAUUACGUAAUCUCACAAAACGACACAAAUACUCGUUGAAACGAUGAAAAUCUAAUCCAAGACAAAGUGGGCCCCAUUAUUACAACAUGGGAAGAUGUCACAAUCAAAAAGCGGGUCCCACGUUGUAGAUUCGGCGCUUGGAACACACGCACCCGUUUUACUGUAAUUAGAUUGCGUGACCAAAGAGUCAAACAGCGCCGUGCAGUUUAAUGAGUUUUAAGUUCUUGUCCAAAUCACACACAUGUUGUUCAAUAUUUUAAAUACUGUAACGCAUGUGCAGAUUCCAAUUCUUAAAUCUCGGUGAUUAGUGAAGAAGUUGGAAGUGUUGUAACAACAUUUUUUCUAUAUAACAAACUUGUAAUACUAAAUAAAUUGUAACAAUUCUACAAAUUUUGAAAUUAAUGUGCAGGCGAGAGUUUGAAUACAAGUCUACUGAACCCAUAUUUAGACUCAUUGGUUGGAUCAAAGUUCCAAAACGGUGCUAAUUUCGCCAUCGUUGGAUCUUCUACUCUUCCCAGAUAUGUUCCUUUCGCACUUAACAUUCAGCUCAUGCAGUUCCAACAUUUCAAAUCCCGAGCACUCGAGCUUGCUUCUACUUCAGGUGUCUCUAUUUGAUACUGAUAUUAGCAAUCAACUCUUUAUAGCAAUCUUACUAACUUACUAUUUAUUAUAAGAAGUACCUUUACAUUUGUGUUGUGCAGAUCCUUUGAAAGAGAUGAUGAUAAGUGAGAGUGGAUUCAGAAACGCUUUGUACAUGAUCGAUAUCGGGCAGAAUGAUAUUGCGGAUUCUUUUUCCAAAGGCCUUUCUUUCUCCCGAGUUUCCAAGCUUAUUAUUCCCAACGUUAUUUACGAGAUCAAAAGUGCCAUAAAGGUCAAAACUUCUACACUCAAACGCUAAAAGUUGCGAGCGUCAAUCCAUGAAGUUGAAUUGUUGAAUUUUUGUUUUUGCAGAUAUUGUAUAAUGAAGGAGGGAGAAAAUUUUGGGUUCACAAUACAGGACCUUUAGGUUGUUUGCCUCAGAAACUUUCAAUGGUUCAGAGCAAAGUUUUCGAUAAGCACGGUUGUCUUGCGGGUUAUAACGCAGCUGCAAAACUGUUCAACGAAGGAUUGGAUCAUAUGUGUCAGGAGCUGAUGACAGAGCUGAGAGAGGUCAGCAUUGUCUAUGUCGACAUUUAUGCCAUCAAGUACGAUCUCAUAGCUAACUCCAGCAAUUAUGGUAAGCUUUUAUACAUAUUAGUAAACAAAUACUAGUGUUACAGGGUAUAUGACUCAUCACAGUCCACAGAACAUUCAUAUAUGUGACUUCGUUAAGCAUCUUUGUGUGUAGCAUCAAGCAUGUAUAAAACCUGAACCAAUUGAUAUUCAUUUUUCCUUCAGUUUGGAUAUAUACUAAGCCAAAACAUCCGAUUCAAAUAUUAUGGCUAUAGAUAUUUAGAAAACGCAAUUGGUUUGUGCAGGCUUUGAAAAACCGUUAAUGGCGUGUUGUGGAUAUGGAGGGCCUCCUUAUAACUACAAUGUGAACAUAACGUGUGGCAACGGUGGCUCUAAAAGUUGCGACGAAGGGUCUAGGUUUAUAAGCUGGGACGGAAUACACUACACUGAGACGGCUAACGCCAUUGUAGCCAUGAAAGUAUUGUCCAUGCAAUAUUCUACGCCACCAACUCCCUUCCACUUCUUCUGCGACAGGUGACAUCAUUCAUGUUAUGUGCUUGUUUUGUUCCAAAUAUGAAAAAAUUUCUUUUUGUUUCGGUUUUGUUUUUUAAGCUGGUAAAUUAAGCCUUUGGUUGGAUUGGUUGCAGAAUAAAGUUGAACUCUCAAAGGUUUCCGAAUUUUUUAUUUCGUAUAAAGCCCGGUCACAGUUAACGGACUUGGGCAUAACAUAACAGUUGAACUGAAAAGAGAUUUAAUCUGUAGUGUCGAGAAAAGGGUAAUCAGUGUAACCCACGACAGGAUCAGUAGUAUAGAAACUUGGUCUGUCAUACUUAUUCAGCGGCGCAUCGAGCUCGAACCUUCUAGGCAAAUCCGGAUUAGCCAAAAACAGUCGUCCGUACGCCACAAGAUCGGCUCUUCCCUCCGCCACCGCUUUGUUCCCAUCUUCUCUGGUAUAACCUCCGGCGACAAUGAACGUUCCAUUAAACGCCUUUCUCAUCGGCGUAAGUGAUUCCGCGCACUCGAAAAUCUCACUUACUGUUUUCAUCCUCGGCUCAACCAUGUGGCAGUAGAGUAUCUCGAAUCUGUUGAGAGACUUAGCCAUGUAAAGCCCUAAGCUUUUAGGGUCUGAAUCUCCGGAUUCCAUGUAAUUAGCGAAAGGUGAGAGUCUGAUUCCGACGCGAUCAGGUCCGAUCUCGUUCGACACCGCUUCGAUUACUUCUAAUGCGAAUCUGCAUCGAUUCUCUAGAGAUCCGCCGUAACUAUCGGUUCGAUCGUUAACAGAGUCUUUCAAAAACUGGUCAACCAAGUAGCCGUGAGCUCCGUGGAUCUCCACUCCAUCGAAACCUAGACAAAAAAAAAUCAAAAAGGUUGAACCUUUUCUCUUGGGUUUGAUCGAAUCAAUUUGGGAUUGGAAUCGAAAGUUUGGGUUUUUACCAGCUUCGAUUGCGUUUCUUGCAGCAAGACGAAAAUCAUUGACAAUGGUGGGGAUUUCGUCAGUUGUUAGUCUUCUCGGAGGGGUAAAUCUAUACUGACUCGAUGGAUCGUCGGCGACUGGCUUAUCCGUAGGAGAAACCGGAGCUUCCCCAUUUGGCUGCCAAUCUACAAAUAUUCAAACUAUGAUGACUCAGUCUCCGAACUACUCUAUUUGGCUUGCAUUCGAUUCUGCUCAUUAUAUAUGAGUUUCAUAAAAUGAGCAACUUCAAAUCCGAAAAGAGAAAACUUUUUAAAAAGGGUUUCUUAUAAACCUCGAUGAGAAACACGACCGGCGUGCCAGAGCUGGCAGAAGAAGACGCCGCCGCGAGAGUGAACGGCGUCAACGAUGGGCUUCCAUGCUUCUAUUUGUUCUUUUCUCCAUAUCCCUCCAAUGUUUAUAUACCUUUAAGGGAAAAGAAGUCAAUCAAAAAUCAGAACCCUUAUAAGAAAGUAACUUUUCUGGUAAAUUGGUUUUAUAAUUAGACUUACGCCAUGGCAGUUUCAGAAAUUCCGGUGGCUUCGCUGAUGAGGAGACCUCCCGGAGUUGUUCUCUGAGAGUAAUACAAGGCGGCCUGAGGUUGUGGAACGUUACCGUAUGAUCUCAAUCUCCCCAUCGGAGCCAUAACUAUUCUGUAAAAUAUUUGAGAAAGUUUUUGUUAAGACAAUCUAUGUAUUUUAGCAAUGAUCAGUUUUGUGUGUGAAUGAGAUUUAAGGGAACCUGUGUGUAAGGUUGAAGUUUCUCAUCGAGAAUGGGGUGAGAAGAGGAAUUGUCUGUGUAGUUGCGUUCUCCAUCGAUCUAUCUUUCGAGAACUCCAGAUUUCUGUCGUCUUACUGUGGUUUUCAGAAAAUAUCUUGGAGAUUUACUACUUGAUCUCCAAGUUUCUUCUUUUGUCUUUUUCUUUUUUCACUAUAAUACACAACAGUUUCGUCGAAAAAUCUAUGUACAGUAGAAUAAUACAGUUGACUUAAACACCGUGUGAUAUCUUUCCAGGUCAACAAGAUUUUUUUUCGCUUUCUUUUUCGGUAACUAUACUAAUUACUACACUGUGAGAAUGAAGGCACAGUUACUCCUACGUCGAACGUAUUGCUCAAGCAUCCCUCCGACUGCAAAUGCUAAAAUCACUAAUCUCUCUCGUAUAUGCCAGAUUCAUGAAGCUCGGAAGCUUUUCGAUUCAUUUUUCCACAAAACGAUUCAAUUGUCUACAUUCUUCUUCUACAUUUGGUAGAUGACGAAUGGGGAGAUUGACGAGGCUAGGAGAGUGUUUGGUUUGAUGCAGGAGAGGAAUUUUGUCUUAUGGACGGCGAUGGUGAAAGGGUAUGUGCAGAGUGGUAAAGUGGAUGUGGCAGAGUCAUUGUUUUGGAAAAUGCCUGAUAAGAAUAAGGUUUUCUUGGACUGUGAUGCUUAUUGCCUUAUUGGGUUUAUACAAGAUGGACGAAUAGAUGAUGCGUCUAAGCUGUUCGAUAUGAUGCCAGUCAAAGAUAAUGUUGCAAGGACUAGUAAUAGUAUGAUUCAUGGGUUGUGCAUAGAAAGAACAGUGGAUGAGGCUAGGAACUUUUUUAAUUAGAUGUCAGAAAGAAGUGUGAUUACAUAGUUUGUUUUGUAGAUACAGAUCUCUCUUCAAGCCAAACGAGAAUUCAAAGGCAACUUUGUUUUGGUACAUAGUUAUUAACAUUCUUUGUUGCAUGUACAGAGACCGAAGAGCUCUCUGUCUCAUGUGUACUACGGAGAAAGAUUCAAGUCUAAACAAAUGUCAGUCCCAGAUCCGUCUUGCUUUUCCUUAGAGCCGUACUCGUUGGAUGCUGAAGAGCUCGUAUCAGCUGCUAUUUCUUUGUUGUUGGCCUCUGCUUCAUUCAUGAAAAUGAAAUCCUCAGGCUGAAACGAAGGGAAUCUACGAACCCUCACUCUUUCUUCUUCCUGUCUCUUCUUCUCCAUGGAGCUGAUCAGGUAUUUCCGCAUUUCCCUUGCGUUUUUAAGAAAUGUGUACAACUUAUCUAUCUUUUCUUCUUCGUCUUCUUCCUUCUCCGUUUUCACUUUCUUUCUGUCUCUAUCCAUAGAACCACUCUCUCUUCCUUCCCCUUUGAAAAUGUUUCUCUUUAGCUACACAAUUUUCAUAACUCUUUCUAUCAUCAACACAUGAUAUAUUGGAAGAUUUUUCUGCAGGAGUUGGUGGAGGAGAUAUAAUUAUUACCUCUAGUGGGAAGACCAACAACAUAACCUUAUCUAAAAGUCUCCUAUACUUCUCCUUUUCUUUGGGUGGCUUUGGAGAUUUUUCAACUCAAUUAUGGACCCUACCAUGAUGGACAUUCAAAUAACAGCAUAUCAUAUAUAUCUACAGAGUCUACAGGGAAUAGCUCAGCUUCAAGCUAAACUAACCACUUCACAAUAACCAUAUGGUCCCAUAACUCAACAAUCUGAACUGCAUGGAUUCAGAAUCAUUCUCAUUUGUUGUAAAGCUUUGUUAGUUAAUAUGCCUAUAUUUCUCCUUCAGUCAUCUGCCCAUGGGACGCCAUGCUUGGCCCAGAGAUAGUAUGCUCCAACUGGUCCUCGUCCACCAAAUUCAUACAACUCCGGAGCUGUGUGGUGCUUGUCUAUUUCUUCUAGGACCGGACUCAGAAUGUCCCAUGCUGCUGCAACCUCAUCGCUUCUCAUGAACAGAUGAUUGUCACCAUCAAUUACAUCAUGGAUUAGGUGUUCGUAUGAGUCUGGUAUUUCGGUUUUGUACCUAGAGGUUUGACCCAACAACGCAAAUAACUAUAACGAGUAGAAGUUUGAUUUUCAAAAUGUGUAGGAACACAGAUGAGAAAAGCAAAACUUGCCUGUCUUUAUAGAGCAGGUUAAGUUCAGAAGCGUCUAGCUGAAGACCUAAACCAGGAACCUUGUUAUUAAUUUUCACCAGGAUGGCCUCAUCAGGUUCGUCACGCAGAAUUAGCUCAUUUGUCCCCAAAUCUAUGUUUAUUCCAAUAUUUUCUCGGUAAAGGUUUCCGGGAACAUGCCGGAAUUGCACACGAAUCUCCACUCUUUGAAUAUUAAGGCACACCAAUCAAUUGUAAUGACAAAUGGAUAUUUCCAUGAGCCGGAAUAGUUAUUCUUACCUGUGUUUAAUGAGGCCUGUCCCAACUCUUACCAGGAAAGGUACACCAUCCCAUCGUGCAUUAUCAAUAUACAAGGCUGCAGCGCAAUAUGUAGGGUCUACACCGUUAAAUAUCACACCGUUCUUGUCCUGGGAACUAGAUUUAUACUGACCAAGGAUGACAUCACGCGGGUCUAGUUUGCGAAUUGAUCUCAAAACCUUCACCUGAAGAAGCAUUUUUGUCACAAGGUCACUUGACAGAAUAUGAGUACACAACUUCGAUAUAUAUAUAGAUAUCACAAGACAAUUCUGUUAUUUGCUAGUGCAGGUUGACCUUUUCAUUCCGGAUAUCUUCACCAUCGAGACUUAUCGGAGGUUCCAUGGUAAGUAAUGCGAUUGUCUGAAGUAUAUGGCUGUGCACUAUGUCCCGUAUUAUUCCAUAUCCAUCAGAAUACCUUCAAAAAAUGCAGUAGGAAAUUAGGUACUGAAACCAUAUCUUUCUUUAUAGAACUAUUGUGCCUUACUUUUCGUUUUGCGCAAUUGAUUCUGAUACAAUAACCUGGAAACAUAGGUUAUAGACAAAGUGAACAGACCAGAAUGUGGAGGAGGAAAGUCCAGGCACUAUACACAACUAUAAACAUCUACCUGUAUAUUGCGUAUGUAUGUUCUGUUCCAUAGUGGUUCAAAAACUAAAUUUGAAAACCUUAACACUGUCAGAUUUUCAAUGAGGUUCCUUCCUAACAUGUGAUCUAUCCUGCAACGGGCACAUACACUGUGAAUAAAGAUGAACUCGGAGAGCUGUGCAUGCAGAAAGCUACUAGAUUAAAAAGAAGGACCUGUAGAUUUGCUUCUCUUCAAACUUAGAGAGAAGUGACUUUGUCAACUGAUGAGAUGACUGUGAGCUAAACCCAAAAGGCUUCUCAACUAUUAUACGAGUCCAGCCAUGUGGUGCUUGAGCCUUUUCUGCAAUGGUGCAUGCCACAUCCAUGAGAGCUUCUUGAGGUACUGAGAGGUAAAAAAUCCUAUUCGCUUUUGAUUCUCCCUGAAGAAGGAAUGCUACUAUUGUAUUAGUGUUUAGCCUUCUUUUCUGUUCCAGAUAUCGUAAACCCAGAAAGAGGACUACCUCAAUCUGUUUCAUUCUUUCGGCAAGUCUGGACAUCCCAUCUCUGUUAUUAUAACCUCCAUUGAUAUAGUAUGUUCUACUAAGAAAUGCAUCCAUCUUGUCCCCGCAAUUUUCCCUGAACAUUUAGCAUCAUCUUUACUUAGCACUGAACAUAUCAAAUUUACCAAGUUUAAGAUAGGAACAAGAAUGAUAUAUACUGAUGAUCAACACGGCAAGUCAGAGUUGACGCGAUGAUGGAUCUGAGGUCUUCAUCUGUAAUAUCUUUUCUUGAAAUCCCAAAUAUGCCAACAUCCUGUGCCAAUGAAGUCCAAUCAAGAAGACACCAAUAGAAAAAAAAACCAGCCAAUGGCUUUCACUGAUCAUUUUGUUCAUUAGUAUCAAAACCAUACCUGAGGAAGGUAGCCGCUAUAAUACAACGCAAACAGUGCUGGGAAAAUCUUCCCUCUUGCAAGUUCACCAGUAGCUCCUACAACAGCAAUGCAAAGCGAGGCACCUAUUUGGACAUCCGAAAGACCACCCGAGAAUUGUUUUAACACAGCUGGUAAGUCUCCAACUUUGUGAGAACCAUCAUCACUCAAAUCAGCUCCCAGAAUAUUGUCUUCAGGUCGUAAAUCUGUAGCUCCAGUUUCUUCAGUAAAACCUGGAUCACAUUUAACCACAGUAAGUGCUAAAGAAGGGUCUUCAGCAGAUGUAUUUGAGUCUUUUCCUAGUUCAUCGCUGAGGAAUGUGUGAUCUGAGCGUGUUUUAAGCUCGUUUACAGGCAGGUGUUUUCUGUGGCUGCCUUGUCUAAGCUGCAGGCUCUUAAGUAUCCAUAGCUUCAAACCGCAGAAUCGCCAGCAGAGAUUCGAGCCUCCUCCGUUGAGAACAAGGUUUUCAUUUCUGAAGGAACUAUAGUCUCUUGACGAAACCUACUCACACACAAAAAAAAAAAAAAAAAAAAGAAUUCAAAUUUCAACAACUGAAGCAAAAAACAAGUCCUUUAGAAUCAAUUCCUACUAAGCUUGAGGCAAAGAACACAAAAUUUGAGAUCUCUGGUGAGAUUGCAGUAAAUAUAGCUUAAAAAAAGGAAAAUAACUAUCUUUACUUAUCAAAAUAGUGACUUAUUGAUCAAACGCAAACAUGCAAAGAAAGCUGAAGAGAAGGUACAAAGAAUACAUGACCUUACCGGAAAAUUAGAAAAAGAGGCGGCGAGACGGGAAGAGCAGGCGGAGGGGGAAGGAGCCGUGGCUGAUAGAGAAAAGGGAAGCAAGCAACUGGAGAGAGACAUGAGGAUGGUUCCUCAGGGACCGAUUAUAGCUAACAUUAUUGAAAACUUCUACAAACUGCUUUAAGUGGAAGCCUGAGUGCCACUUUAACUCCCCUAGUUUUGGGUACAGCUGAUUCAAGCCUCAAUGGAAUAAAUCAAAGAAUAAUGCCUCGAAUUCGGUUGUAGUGAACCGUACCGUACCAAACUGAACUGAACCGGUUGGUUAUUAAGGAACCGGUUGGUUAUUAAGGAAAUGGGAAUACAGGUGGUUUAGGCGGGGUGGGUAGGUUGACAUUGAUCGACAGCUCACAGCUCAACGUCAACGUCUCUUCUGGUUCUGAGCGGCGUCAGCGUUGUGUUGUGUUGGUGAGAUCAUCUUCUUUUGAACUUCUUCGAUCUUAUCGUCUCGAAAGUUCUCACCUUUUUUUUCUCUUUUUUCUUUUCCUUCAGCUAUUUUCGGCGGAGAAAAUACUUUUUAUUUAUUUAAGAGCUAAAAGGACGAUCACUGUUUCGUUUGCUACUGUCUCAGUUUCAGAUUCUGGGUUUUUCGUUUUUCUUUCUUUGGAUUCGGAUUGUAACUCGAUGGCGAGGAAGAAGAUAAGAGAGUAUGACUCUAAGAGACUUCUCAAGGCACACUUGAAGCGUCUCGCUAACAUUGACCUGCAAAUUUGCUCUGCUCAGGUCACUUUUUGACGAAUUCUAGUUCUUUUUUUGUUCUCAUCGAUCUGCUUUGGAUUUUCAAAAUAUGUUGCGGAUUGAAGUACGCAAAAUUCUAUAGCAUUAUUCAAUUGUACCUCUUGAAUGAAUUGUGCCUGAUUGUAAUUGAGGAGACUUAUCUGGACUUAAGAACUAAUGAAAGUGAGAAUCUUGAGAAAGAUGGUUUUUAUCUCUCUUCUACGGAUGAUUACUAGGAAUUUUUCCUUUAUACAUUUGGUGAUUUGUUUACCGUUGUGUACUUUUAGGUGACAGAAGCUACGGAUUUCACUGAGUUAACCAACCAGGAGUCAUGGCUAUCAUCUACAAAGCUAGUUGUGAAGCCUGAUAUGCUAUUUGGGAAACGCGGGAAAAGUGGCUUGGUAGCUCUUAAGCUGGAUCUUGCUGAAGUUGCUGAGUUUGUCAAAGCCCGCCUCGGCACUGAGGUGACCCAUCCUAGCCGCCCGAGCCAUAGAACUGCGGGUUAGAUUUGUUGUGUCAUUGAUGUUUGUCUUUACGUUUUUCAUGAGUCGCAGGUUGAGAUGGAGGGAUGUAAAGCCCCUAUUACUACAUUCAUUGUGGAGCCCUUUGUGCCUCAUGAUCAAGAAUAUUACCUUUCUAUUGUAUCUGAUAGGCUUGGCUGCACUAUAAGCUUCUCUGAGUGUGGCGGCAUUGAAAUAGAAGAGAACUGGGACAAAGUAAUUACCUUUUGGCUCUUUUAUUGUUUCCAUGCAUUCUCUGUCUUGUCUUAGUUUUUGUUGUUUUCUCUCAAUAAUGCGGUUUAUGGUACCAACAGGUGAAGACUAUAUUUCUUCCUGCGGAAAAGCCAAUGACACUAGAAGUAUGUGCUCCAUUGAUAGCAACACUUCCUCUUGAGGUAAGUAUUUAUCCUCUGUGACUCUGAAAGCUUCUGAGCCAGUAACACCGUACACUAAUUUGUCUUAAGGAAAACGUAGGUAUCUGGUUUCAAUGUGCAUUCAUUCUCUGGUUUUUUGUAUUCCUCUGCAUUUUCGAAGAUGCUGAAAUUAUGGCUUCUAAGUACUGCAGUCUAUGUCAAAGAGAUUAUUAAGUUAGGUUCUUUCAACUAAUGCUUAGCCUGCUCUCAUGAGUGUGUCUAUGCAUUUCAGGUUCGAGCUAAAAUCGGCAAUUUCAUAAUGGGCGCGUUUUCUGUAUUUCAAGGUAUGGGUAUAUUAAUGAGAUUUGGCCAUAUGUUGACUUCAAAAAUUUGUGCACAUACGAAGAGCUUUGAUUCGAGAUUUCUUGAGGUCAUUUGCUUAUCAUCUAUUUGUGUUUUUUUUCUGUAAAGAUUUGGAUUUCAGUUUUAUGGAGAUGAAUCCUUUUACACUAGUCGCUGGAGAGCCAUACCCUUUGGAUAUGAGAGGAGAAUUGGACGACACUGCUGCCUUCAAGAAUUUCAACAAGUAUGUCUAACAUUUCUACGCUUCCUGUUGAGAUAUCCGCAAUCACUUUUUUCUUUAGAAACUCAUUAGAUUGAUAAGCUCUAAUCAAUUCAGGUGGGGAGACAUUGAAUUUCCUCUGCCAUUUGGAAGGGUCCUAAGUCCAACGGAGAACUUCAUCCAUGGUUUAGAUGAGAAGGUGUGAGUGGCCGGAUUUUCUUUUAAUACUGCUUCUGUGACUCAAAAAGGAAAGUAAUUUUACUGAUCAUGCAUUUGUGUGUUAUUUAUUGCAGACAAGUGCUUCUUUGAAGUUCACUGUUUUGAAUCCUAAAGGCCGCAUUUGGACAAUGGUAGCUGGAGGAGGUGCUAGCGUCAUAUAUGCUGACACAGUGAGUUGAAACCCUGAGCUUUUUAUAAGUAGAGAGUUGCAGUAACAGAACUUAAAAUGCCUGCUCCUUGAAAUGAUCUAAUUGUCACCGAAUCAACUUAAAUUUCAAAUUAUAGACAGAUUAUCACCAUUCUGAGCAGAACCAAUCAACUUAGUGUGUUAAUUGGUGGCUCUCUGUAUUUUUAUCAUUUAGGCAAUCUCAUAUCCUUGCCAUUUGAAAAGACUGGAAACAAAAAAGUUCAAAGAAAGUGUUAUUAUGAGGAUUCCGAAGAAUUUCUCACAUUAGUUUAUUUGUGUUUUCCUUAUCUACGUUUGAAAAGGUUGGGGAUUUAGGUUAUGCAUCCGAACUUGGGAACUACGCGGAGUAUAGUGGAGCACCUAAUGAGGAAGAGGUGUUACAGUACGCAAGAGUUGUCAUUGAUGUGAGUCAUGGCAAAGAACUUAGAUUUUGCCAUUCACUGUUUUUCUCUAAUCAAAUCUAGACAUUCACGGACCAAAUGUUGGGGCUUUGUCAGUGUGCUACUGCUGAUCCUGACGGGCGUAAACGAGCUCUUCUUAUUGGAGGAGGCAUUGCCAACUUCACAGAUGUGGCAGCUACUUUCAACGGUAUCAUCAGAGCCCUAAGAGAAAAGGUACUUUAGUGAAUGAAGAAAACAGUUGCUACUUUAUUUUUGGGAAGAUGAGAGCAAUGCCUAAGGACUAGAUCGAUGCUGGCGGGUUUUUUAGCAGUUUGUUUUGUGUGCCACGAACAGGAAACAAGGUUGAAAGCAUCAAGAAUGCACAUUUACGUAAGGAGAGGUGGACCAAAUUACCAGACUGGUUUGGCUAGAAUGCGAGCUUUGGGAGAGGAACUGGGUGUUCCCCUAGAGGUAACCAAACACUGCUUAUGGAAAAUUAGCAGCCGUGUGAAUAUAGAAUGUUACAAUCUAAGCCUAUGAGAAAUUAUGAAAACUUACUCUGUUGAACCCGGAAAUCACCCUUUUUCACAUCUCGCUUAAUGCUAAACAUUUGUGUUUAGCUCGAACACUGAACUUUAGAAGGAUUGAUGAUUGCAGGUAUAUGGACCAGAAGCAACGAUGACGGGAAUAUGCAAACGAGCUAUUGACUGCAUCAUGUUGCCUGAUGCAUAACCCACCUUCUGUUUCUAAAAACAGAACACAAACUCUGGAGCUGGAGAUCGGAAAAGUCAGUGAGUGAGUUUGUUGAUUUCUGUUGUUUAUCUUUCUUUCCACGUAAAAAAUAAAAUGAGAAGCUCUUAAAAACUUUCUACAACUGUAUUAUUGUGUAAUUGUAAAUUUGUAAUCAAACGGUCAACAUCUUUAUUUGGUAACUAUUUGCAAACCUUUGGAAAUAAUAAUGGUUUCCCACAUUGAUUUUUUUAUUUAGAAUAUGUAUAUAUUUUUCUUCUCUUCAACUCCCAUUCACAGGAGUGACUGCUGCAACUUUUGGUUAUCGCUUGAGAUAGCCACCGGAUAAGACAAGUUCAACGGGUGAAUCUGUCUGCUGGAUUUGAGAUUUCUAAUCUUUUGAAUUCCGUGGUUUUUUCUUGAUGAAAACUAAAAACAUUGUAAGCUUAGUAGCGAAAUUACAAGAAAAGGAGGACGUGAAGAAGAAGAAGAGUACCUAGCCCUUGGUGUUGUUCUUCUCUUAAGGCAUUUGGUAUGGUGUGAAUGCUUUGUUCUACUUCUAGCGGCAAAUGUUGGCUUAUGUUUCCUUUUUUUCAAGUCUCGUUAAGUUUUGGUGAUUGGACAUAGAACCGGAUAUAGUAUGUUUCAAAUGAUCAAAUAAUGUGACAGAGAUAUUUUUAUCUACCGGUUAGCUCGAAUUCAUAAAGAUUGAUGAUUGCAGGCAUAUGGACCAGAAGCAACGAUGACGACGGGAAUAUGCAAACGAGCUAUUGACUGUGUUGAUUUCUGUUCUUUAUUAUCUUUUUCCACACAAACAAUUAGAAGCUCUUUAAAACCUUUUGUCCCCUCUGGAUGUGAAUUUGAAAACUGUAUUACUAUGUGUUGCAACUUGCAAGUGUAAUUGUAAUCAAACGGUCAAAAUACUUAUUUGAACUGUACAGUAAGACUUCAAAAGGUAAGCUACUUUGGUUUUUUUUUGUGUGUAGUAAGGUCACACUCGUUAUACACACCAAUCUAUUAUACAAAUCCAGUUCCAUAUACAAAACAUGUCUAUGCAUAUCAUAUAUAUUACAUGUAUAUUUAACUCUAUCAUCUGUUAAUUCAAAUGCAAAAACCGGAAGAAAUGAAAGAAAAAGAUUGAUUCCCAAGAACAAGAAAAUGCAGAAGAAUCAACAACUCUCAAAGAACAGACAAGACUUUGCGCCAUAGCAAAUAUCUCUGUUUUGUAAUGGUAAUCUGAUUAUUAAAGCCUCUUGCUCUGUGAUCUUGAAACUGGUGUGCUUCUGUCUGUAUCUGAGUUUUCCUCUGGUGUUCUGCGCAUUCUCCGCUCCUGUAAGUUGAAUUCUUGCUUAAGUUUUUACAAGUCUGCAUACUUUUCUGUUUUAUAAAAAAGGUUUUAAGAAACACUAACCUCUCUUGGUAUGGGAUAUUCCUCAGACUCCAGCAUACGCACAACUUGGCUCAUUUUAGGUCUCUUCUCAGAAUCAGGAUCGAUGCAUCUAAGUGCGGUAAGAAGAACACGUUUCAGUGCUCGAGUCGCUGGCCUAACUGCUAUGUUUGGAUCAAUUACUUCUUCCAAUCUCUUACUUCCCACCAUCAUCUUCAACCACUCAACCAAAUUUACCUGCAAAAGAUUGUUAAUGAGUCUCAAAAUUUAUCAUAUUUUCAUAUCCAUUCAUCUCUCCAUACUCUAUCUACCUCAUUUGCAGGACGAGCAUAAUCCACAGGAUCUCUUCCGGUUAUUGCUUCUAAGACCAAAACACCAAAGCUGUACACAUCACUCUUCUCAUUCAAAAGUCCUGUAUUGGCAUACUCAGGAGCAACAUACCUGCAAUACUCAGAAAAUAACCAUGGCUCAGUCAUAAAUUUAAAGCUCCUUUUUCGAAAACAAAAAGUUGCUUUGAUAUAUUACCCAAAUGUUCCCAUCACUCGAGUAGUCACAUGGCUUUUCCCAUCUCCAAGCAACUUGGCAAGGCCAAAAUCAGAAAUCUUGGCAUUGAAUCUGUCAUCGAUCAAUAUAUUGCUCGACUUGAUGUCUCUAUGCACUACUUUUGGCUCGAUUGCCUCGUGUAGAUAAGCAAGACUGCACAAGGAAAAAAACCAUUACUUUCAGCAUAAAAAAUGUGAAAAAAGAAGUAAAUGGUUUGCUUAAUUACGCCUUGGAUGUGCCGGUGAGAACUUUCAUUCUAGCCUCCCAAGUUAGAUAUCCGUGGUGUUUCAUUGCUCCAUGUAGCCACUCUUCGAGGUUCCCAUUGUUCAUAUACUCAUAAACCAAUAUCCUAACAGCAACAAACUCACAAAAGUUGGUUUCUUUUCUUCUCUAAACAAAACAAAGUAUCAAUCUUUAUACCUGUGUGUGCCUUCAAUGCAGUAUCCUAGAAGACGUACCAAGUUCUUGUGACGCACAUGACCAAUAGCAUCUACCUCUACUCUAAACUCUUUCUCAGCUUGUCCCCUACAGUGUCCAGCAACAAUCAGUUUUCAAGAGUAAUCAACAGAUCAAAAGAGAGAGAGGCCUCUAUGUCUUUAUGACCAUAACUCACAAGUGGUUAAGGAUCUUUUUCACGGCGACGUGAGUCCCAUUGACCAACUCUCCUCUGUACACAACACCAUAUCCUCCUUCACCAAUCACAUUAUCCUUUGAGAACCUGUUUGUUGCUAUUUCAAGAUCUCUGAGAGUAAACCAAUGACCCCAUCCAAGGUGCGACUCAGGUAAACCGGAAAGAGGUGAUGGUGAUGGCGUUGCCAUCUCAUACAAUGAUGAAGAAGACCGGUUUGCAACACAUAGAGAACCUUCUUUGCCUGAACCAGAACGGCUACUACUGCUCAAACCAUUCUCUCUCUUCUUCUCCAUAUCCAAGUUAAGCAAGAACUUGUCAGAUUCAUGGCUGUUUAUGUCAUGAGGAUCGAAGUUACUACUAGUUGAGACAUGCUCUAUUCUGACUUCCUUGAUCUCUUUGGAUACCGCAGGGGUUUGAAUGAUGGGAAGAGUUAAGGUUUUGGAUCUUCUUGAUUUCUUUUUCCAAAUGAGACAAAAUGAAAGAACAGAGAGUAUGGCUAUGAUGAACAGAGCAAUGGCGAUGACUAUUGCUUGCCAGAUCUUAAGUGUAGACAUUGUUCCUUCUCCUAAUCUGCUUGAUUUCAAAAUCAUCAAACAAAGAAGAGUAAAGCUUGAAACAGUCAGAGCAAGCGAAAGAAAUAAAUACUAGAAAGGAACUACAUGAAAAAUGCUGUGGGAUUGAUGAUGAGGAGACUCCAAGUUGAUUCAGUGGUCCCAAAAUCAUACAAAAAGGACCACUAAGUAGCUAAUAACCCAAUAAAGCAACAAGAUAACAAAAUGCAGCAAUCAUUAACAUCUUCAUUAUCAUCCAUCUAAAAAGAUGCAUAGGACAAGCAAAAGGAUGAUACAAAUACAGAGAGAAUAAAAGUUAGAACAAGUAGAUGACAGUCUAACGAUUGUUACCUCCUACGAAUGAAGCUUGACAAGAGAAACUCUUUAGAGAACAAAAAGACAAAACGUUUUAGAUGGAACAGAGGAAACAGAGUUUUUGUUUCCUUUUUUUUGAAGAAUGUAGAACUUUUUUUUGGUGUGAAGAAGAAGAAGAAGAAAGAGACGAAAUCAAGAAAAGUUUAAGCAAAUAGAAAAGGAGAAAACUUGAAAACUUAGGCAGUGAAAAUCUGGUGGAAGGGAAUUAGGAGAAGGAAGAAGAAAUGGAGUUAUCAAGUGGUAGGUGAUGAAAAUUUUAUCAGUUUUAUUCUUCAAUAUAUUUGUUUUCCCCCUCUUAAUUGUUCUUUAUAACUAUAAGGUAGUGUGAUAGAGAGAGCUUGCAUUGCAAAUUACAUUUUCAUUACAUAGGAGAUAAAAACAUCCUCUUACAUUUCCGUGAAGGGGGAUGAUGUUUUAACAACCCGAAGUAACUGUCCGAUCUUGUACACUAGACGGGAUAGGAAAACCAAACUUUAGUACAGAAACAAUUGUUGUAUUAAUUAGUGAUUCGAGUUAAAACAUUGAAAAGACUAAUAAAAGUAUGAAAUUAUUACUAGUGUAUUUAUGGAUAUAUACAAGUAGAAAAUGUUUGAUGAACGUCGUUGGGGCUGGCUGUUACCGCAAUGUUUUGUUUUUCUUCCGUUCUUGAUAAAUUAGAAUUACGAUUUUCUCGAUUUUUUAAAUAUAUAUAUAUGUUCAAUUGUAAUUUGUUGUGUUUGGAAUGUUGACGUAACUUUUUUUUCUUUUUAGGCUUCAGCUAUAAAUCCACACAAUCACAUCAUCAAUGUUCUAAAAUUUUGGUCGGUAUAUAUAUAAUUGAGAAAUAGUAUUUUUUACAUGCUUUACAUUCCAUUACUCGUGUGUGUUGUGUGAUAACUGAUAACUUGUGCAUACACAAGACAACAAUCUAAUUGAUACAUGUAAUCUAUACAUUACUGAUUACUAAUUUACUAUGUAACGUCGUAAAAGACAUCAUAACACCAAUCUACAAGCAGAACAUCAAGGGAUGUGCCAACAAUUAGCUUUUUCUUCCCUUUUUUUCAUUUACUGUAUAUACAUAAACCGAAAUAGAGAGAAGUUAUAGUCAUCUAGAAGUAUGUUUUAGACUUGAGAAGUAAUUUAGAAAGAGGAGCAGGUUGCUUAAUCUUUUGGUCAUCAUCGUCGUUCGUUCGUUCGUCUACUUGAAAGAGAAAGUCCAACAAAUUUAAAGCCUUCCUUCGUGUUCAACAUUCCCAAUAUUGAUCGUAUAUUUUAUUUUCCAAGUUGCAUACACUGUGGAUAUUAUUUUACUCUUAUUAUUAUCAAUUCCCUCGCACAACAAACAACGUCACAUUUUAUAUAACCCGGUUUGGUUCGGUUAGAACCCCGAUUCAAAAACCUAUUGGGCUUGAGAUUAGAUUAUGAGCCCAAUUUAGAUUUUGGAUUUUAAAAUAUUCAGACCCAUGAAUAUCUCCCGCCUUCCCGGUCCACAACUUUGAUUCAAAUCAUCGACAUCUCUCUUUCUCUCUCCCUCGGUGACUGUUGCAAUACUGAUUUGCGUUUCCUCCUCUAACCUAGAAUGGGAGAUAGAGGUGAACUAAUAUGUUUGGAUUCGUUAUUGGGUUUCCUUAAAUUUUCGAUUUUUUUGGUGUGUUUCUAAGGUGUAUCAACGUGCAGUUGAUCUUUGGUCUGAGGUCAUUAAAUCCGAGGAAGAAGACGGCGGAGAUAUACCCAAAAUUGAAGCUGUAUACCAAAGAAGGAAGAAGCCUGAUAAGUCCUCAGAAGCUGUUAAUUUGUAAAAGAAUUUUAAAAGUGGUUUAAUUUGCCUUUUGUAUCUAUCCGAAUAACUAUCUUCUGAUGCGUAAUUUAUCAACAGAGGCUGGUUGGUCAAAGGGGUUCGUACCAGUUCCAUCAAUGGACCAAAGAGAGAUAGCUGGACUCGUUCCCUCUCCACCAGGUAUACAUUCUUAGCUUAACCCUAAUUUUGUUUUUCUUCUGAUUCUGAGGUUUUGUUUUUGCUUGUUGCUGCUUCAAGAGAUCUUUUUUUUUUUUUUUUUGUCAGUGUUCUUGUUUUGUAUGUCGUGUCCUUCCAAUUCUUUUCUUAAGUUAUGAAUGACUACUUACUGCACACCUUCUGUUUGCUGAAAUGUCAAGGAAUUGCCACCAAAUUUAUACCUGUAAACGAAGUGGCUUAUAUUUUACUUUUGGUGUUUGUGACAGAGGGAGGGAGAGUGUUGCGGUUGUCAACAAUCAGCCUCAGGAGAAACCAGCCAGGAGAAAGAAACCCGCUAUUCCGAAGGUAGUCUAUCUUUUCCAGUGACGACUUGUGCGGUUUUGCUAUGAAGUCUAGUGUUCUCGAAACAAAACAUUUCUCGUGUCUCUGGAUUCCCAUUCUCUCCUGGAGGAUGGUCAAAAUGUUUGUGCUCCUUUCUUCAGACUCUAAUUUUCUUUUGGGAGAUGAUACACAUGUAUUUUCUUUUAAACUCUCAGGGAAAAGUUGUUAAAGCUCCAGACUUCCAGAAAGAGAAGGAAUACUUUCGUGAUAUUGAUGCUUUUGAGCUUCUGGAAGAGAGUCCUUCUCCCAAUAAAUCUAGUACAUGGACCAUGGGUGAACAAGUUGUUCCUGAGAUGCCACAUCUAUCCACAAGAUUAGAAAAGUGGCUGAUCUCAAAGAAGUUUAACCAUGCUUGUGGUCCUUCGAGCACACUCUCUAAGAUACUUGAAAACUCAGCCACACGCCAGGAGUCAGUUUUUGAUAAUGAAUCCUUUGAUUCAUUGCCACUAAAAACCCCAGAAAAGUCUUCUUCUGGCAACCCUUCAGUUUUCCGGCUCAUUCCAAGCCGUGAUGACAGUUCAGCUGCCGAAGAUGUGCAUGUUAGAAAAAUCAAGAUGGAAGCAAUUGACCUUGAAGAUGAGCUGAAGCAACUGUCUUUGACAUCUGAUCCGCCCUCCACUCAUCUAGAUUUUGAUAAGUCAUUUCUUGAUCUAUUGUCCGCGUGUAGACAGAUGCAACCAUCAAACUUCUUGGAAGCAUUCUCUAAAUUCUGGUAUGGACUAUAGAUUAUCUUUUAUGUUCUAGCCUUGGCUGUUUGUCUAGUGCUUUUGGUGUGUUAUCUUAGGAAUGUUGUACGUUUUUGUUGACACUUUGGUACGCCCCGAUUAAGAGAUGUGAUGUAGUGUUCUUGUAUCAUUAAGUUCAAUUUGAAUCAAUUAUAAUUGUGACUCAAAUAUUGCAGUGAACCAGAAAGCAUUGUCAAGAUUGGUGAAGGUACAUAUGGAGAGGCUUUUCGGGCUGGUUCUAGUGUCUGUAAAAUAGUUCCAAUUGAUGGAGACUUCAGGGUUAAUGGGGAAGUACAGAAGGUACUUUUCUUAACUCGCUUCUAUGUUUCUCCAUGAUGGUUUGAGACUACAACUUCUAGUUGGUGAAAUUAUCACUUUAGCAUGAACGAAAAUAUUGGAGAGGGCCAGCAGGCGCAAGUUGAGGUUAAUUUGUAUUUAGAGAAUAACAGUGUUUAUG